AGUUCUGCGUUGAAAAAGGUAUGGACAUGAAGAUAAUAAUCAUGAGAACACAACCCAUUUUGUGUUGAAUCGAGAUUCAUCAAAACCCAAGGAGAUUCGAUGGCAGAGAAGAGGAGGAAGACGAGAGUCUUUAAUGCUACUCCAAGGAACCUCUCUGAACAUGGCUGUUGUUUGUUUUUGGGUAUGUAAACUGACCUUCCUUACCUUUUCUUUUGAUUUACUCUUGUUUUAUCAGUCAUUAUCCCCCAUAAACCUCAUCUGCAGAAGCACCAUUAAAUGCACUUGUUUCUGCAUCACCCAACUCAGUCUCCAUUCUGUUGUCUUGUUUUGUUUCUUCUGCUUUGUGUUAGAGAAAAGUUAAGCAUGCUUUUUCGCUGCUAGUUGGUCCGUGAUUCAGAGCUUUUCGAAGCUAAUGAUUCAUCUGAUUUGAAAAAAAACUUGAGUCUGAUGUUAAAAAUGUAAGAUUUGGCAGUUGAAACAGAGGGCUUUAGGAGAUUAAAAAAAAAA
Molecule: long non-coding RNA, 507 nt
Organism: Cucurbita moschata (crookneck pumpkin)
Lineage: Eukaryota; Viridiplantae; Streptophyta; Magnoliopsida; Cucurbitales; Cucurbitaceae
Exons: 2
Source: RefSeq, a predicted model, not a curated record